This 440-nucleotide ribosomal RNA is filed under the name uncultured bacterium. Its description in RNAcentral is "partial 16S ribosomal RNA". It matches the Rfam family "Bacterial small subunit ribosomal RNA", at positions 338 to 795 of the family's 1533-position model. The record is from RNAcentral.
CCUACGGGAGGCAGCAGUGGGGAAUAUCGCACAAUGGGGGAAACCCUGAUGCAGCGACGCCGCGUGAGUGAAGAAGUAUUUCGGUACGUAAAGCUCUAUCAGCAGGGAAGAAAAUGACGGUACCUGACUAAGAAGCCCCGGCUAACUACGUGCCAGCAGCCGCGGUAAUACGUAGGGGGCAAGCGUUAUCCGGAUUUACUGGGGGUAAAGGGAGCGUAGACGGCAGCGCAAGUCUGGAGUGAAAUCCCAUGGCUUAACCAUGGAACUGCUUUGGAAACUGUGCAGCUAGAGUGCAGGAGAGGUAAGCGGAAUUCCUAGUGUAGCGGUGAAAUGCGUAGAUAUUAGGAGGAACACCAGGGGCGAAGGCGGCUUACUGGACUGUAACUGACGUUGAGGCUCGAAAGCGUGGGGAGCAAACAGGAGUAGAUACCCCGGUAGUC